This 327-nucleotide ribosomal RNA is filed under the name uncultured eukaryote. Its description in RNAcentral is "partial 18S ribosomal RNA". It matches the Rfam family "Eukaryotic small subunit ribosomal RNA", at positions 1470 to 1796 of the family's 1831-position model. The record is from RNAcentral.
CCCUUAGAUGCUCUGGGCCGCACGCGCGCUACACUGACGAAUGCAACGAGCUUAUAACCUUGGCCGAAAGGUCUGAGUAAUCUCCAAAUUUCGUCGUGAUGGGGAUAGAUUAUUGCAAUUAUUAAUCUUCAACGAGGAAUGCCUAGUAAGCGCAAGUCAUCAGCUUGCGUUGAUUACGUCCCUGCCCUUUGUACACACCGCCCGUCGCUCCUACCGAUUGAAUGGUCCGGUGAAGCGUUCGGACCGUGGCCUUUGGACGGUUCGCCGUCUGUUGGCUGCGGGAAGUUCGUUAAACCUUAUCAUUUAGAGGAAGGAGAANUCGUANCA